AGAGUUUGAUCCUGGCUCAGGAUGAACGCUAGCGGGAGGCUUAACACAUGCAAGUCGAGGGGCAACAUGAUGUGGCAAUACAUUGAUGGCGACCGGCGCACGGGUGAGUAACGCGUAUGCAACCUACCUUUUACAGGAGGAUAGCUUCCGGAAACGGAAAUUAAUACUCCAUAAUUUUCUAUUAAGGCAUCUUGAUAGAAUCAAAGCUCCGGCGGUAAAAGAUGGGCAUGCGUAACAUUAGUUAGUUGGUGAGGUAACAGCUCACCAAGGCGACGAUGUUUAGGGGUCCUGAGAGGGUCAACCCCCACACUGGUACUGAGACACGGACCAGACUCCUACGGGAGGCAGCAGUGAGGAAUAUUGGUCAAUGGGCGCAAGCCUGAACCAGCCAUCCCGCGUGCAGGAAGACAGCCCUAUGGGUUGUAAACUGCUUUUCUGAGGGAAGAAUAACCCCGAUUCGUUCGGGGGACGACGGUACCUCAGGAAUAAGCAUCGGCUAACUCCGUGCCAGCAGCCGCGGUAAUACGGAGGAUACAAGCGUUAUCCGGAUUCAUUGGGUUUAAAGGGUGCGUAGGCGGACUGGUAAGUCAGUGGUGAAAUCUUUCGGCUCAACCGAGAAACUGCCAUUGAAACUGUCAGUCUUGAGUCAGGUAGAGGUAGGCGGAAUGUGUAAUGUAGCGGUGAAAUGCUUAGAUAUUACACAGAACACCGAUUGCGUAGGCAGCUUACUGGACCUGCACUGACGCUGAGGCACGAAAGCGUGGGGAGCGAACAGGAUUAGAUACCCUGGUAGUCCACGCCGUAAACUAUGAUUACUCGUUGUUGGCGACACACCGUCAGCGACCAAGCGAAAGCGAUAAGUAAUCCACCUGGGGAGUACGCUCGCAAGAGUGAAACUCAAAGGAAUUGACGGGGGCCCGCACAAGCGGUGGAACAUGUGGUUUAAUUCGAUGAUACGCGAGGAACCUUACCUGGGCUUAAAUGUAGACUGCAUAAUGUGGAAACGCAUUUUUUCUUUACCGACUGUUUUACCAGGUGCUGCUUGGUUGUCGUCAGCUCGUGCCGUGAGGUGUCGGGUUUAGUCCCAUAACGAGCGCAACCCUUAUCGUUAGUUGCCAUCGGAUAAAGCCGGGGACUCUAGCGAAACUGCCACCGUAAGGUGAGAGGAAGGUGGGGAUGACGUCAAAUCAGCACGGCCCUUAUGUCCGGGGCUACACACGUGUUACAAUGGCCAGCACAAAGGGCAGCUACCUGGUGACAGGAUGCUAAUCUCGAAAUCUGGUCCAAGUUCGGAUCGGAGUCUGCAACUCGACUCCGUGAAGCUGGAAUUGCUAGUAAUCGCGCAUCAGCCAUGGCGCGGUGAAUACGUUCCCGGGCCUUGUACACACCGCCCGUCAAGCCAUGGAAGCUGGGGGUGCCUGAAGUCCGUAACCGCAAGGAGCGGCCUAGGGUAAAACUAGUGACUGGGGCUAAGUCGUAACAAGGUAGCC
Molecule: ribosomal RNA, 1490 nt
Filed under: uncultured Bacteroidota bacterium
Lineage: Bacteria; Pseudomonadati; Bacteroidota
Description: bacterial SSU rRNA
Rfam family: Bacterial small subunit ribosomal RNA
Source: RNAcentral